UUAUAUAUAAUUAUUUGAUUAUCGAGGUAUACCUAUACGUGUAUAAUGGCGGUCCGAUGAGAUAGUAUUCCAAAUUGUAAAAGUGAAAAUUAAAUUGCGCCGUAUAGUAUAAAAUAAAUUAUUAUUAUAUAUAAAACGUAUUGUGUACAACGUGCGUAGUGCACAAUAGGCCGACUUUAUGUGUAGCGCAUUGUUACCGAUAUAUUUUUAUGAAUAAACAGACGACAAGUGCCUAUACAGU
Molecule: non-coding RNA, 241 nt
Organism: Cinara cedri
Lineage: Eukaryota; Metazoa; Arthropoda; Insecta; Hemiptera; Aphididae
Source: the annotation of a GenBank genome assembly